This 301-nucleotide ribosomal RNA is filed under the name uncultured bacterium. Its description in RNAcentral is "partial 16S ribosomal RNA". It matches the Rfam family "Bacterial small subunit ribosomal RNA", at positions 509 to 807 of the family's 1533-position model. The record is from RNAcentral.
CAGCCGCCACGGUAAUACGGAGGGAGCUAGCGUUAUUCGGAAUUACUGGGCGUAAAGCGCACGUAGGCGGCUUUGUAAGUUAGAGGUGAAAGCCUGGAGCUCAACUCCAGAAUUGCCUUUAAGACUGCAUCGCUUGAAUCCAGGAGAGGUGAGUGGAAUUCCGAGUGUAGAGGUGAAAUUCGUAGAUAUUCGGAAGAACACCAGUGGCGAAGGCGGCUCACUGGACUGGUAUUGACGCUGAGGUGCGAAAGCGUGGGGAGCAAACAGGAUUAGAUACCCCGGUAGUCCCUGUCUCUUAUAC